UAAAACCGUAUUUAAUUAUCCUGCAGUGAAAAACAAAAACAAAGUAUUUCUAAAAUUUGUUUUAAUGUUUAAAGCUUUACAAAGCAUUGAAAAAAUAAGUUAAUGUGUUUUUAGGCUCAGUGAUUAGUCUCAAUGUGUAACAAUAAACUAUAGUAAUAAACAAUUAUCUUUAUCUGAUUUUCUACAUCAAUCCGGCUAUGGAUUUCUUUUAUGUUUAUGAUUUGAUCUCAGAAACGCCAUUUGCAGACCUCCUCUUCCUAUCCGAGCGUUGCCUAAUGCUCGUUUAUUUUAUGCAAGAUAUGGCACUAGUGUAUGUAAAAAUAGAGUAAAAAUGGAUGAAAGCACUAAAGAAAGAAACUGAUGCAAACUAAUACAGAAUUUUGUCAUGCGAUCACAGUUGUGUAGUCAGAGAACUAUUGACAAAGAAUUGAACGAAAAACCGUCAAACAGUAAUGAAUCAAAUCAUUAUAUAACAAUAGUUUUUUGUUGCUUAAGAGUAUUAUUAAAGUCAAAUCUGUUUUUUAAACGAAUUCAUAUAGAGUAAAAACGGGUCAAAUCGAUCACUGAACAAAAUAAAUCAAGUAACUUUUUUAUCUUAAAAAAUUUUUAAACUUUUUUUUUUUUAAAUAAGAUAGAAAAUACCAAC
Hydra vulgaris (swiftwater hydra) is the source of this 646-nucleotide non-coding RNA. The record is from RefSeq and is a predicted model, not a curated record. Lineage: Eukaryota; Metazoa; Cnidaria; Hydrozoa; Anthoathecata; Hydridae.